UUAUACGACCGUACCGCAAACCGACACUGGUGCGCGAGAUGAGUAUUCUAAGGCGCUUGAGAGAACUCAGGAGAAGGAACUCGGCAAAUUGACACCGUAGCUUCGGAAGAAGGUGUGCCCUAUUAGUGUGAAGUGAACAACGGAGCAUGAAUGGGCUGCAAAAAAUCGGUGGCUGCGACUGUUUAUUAAAAACACAGCACUCUGCAAACACGAAAGUGGACGUAUAGGGUGUGACGCCUGCCCGGUGCUGGAAGAUUAAAUGAUGGGGUGCAAGCUCUUGAUUGAAGUCCCAGUAAACGGCGGCCGUAACAAUAACGGUCCUAAGGUAGCGAAAUUCCUUGUCGGGUAAGUUCCGACCUGCACGAAUGGCGUAACGAUGGCCACACUGUCUCCUCCUGAGACUCAGCGAAGUUGAAAUGUUUGUGAUGAUGCAAUCUCCCCGCGGAAAGACGGAAAGACCCCAUGAACCUUUACUGUAGCUUUGUAUUGGACUUUGAACAGAUCUGUGUAGGAUAGGUGGGAGGCUUUGAAGCAGGGUCGCUAGAUCUUGUGGAGCCAACGUUGAAAUACCACCCUGGUGUGUUUGAGGUUCUAACCUAGGUCCAUUAUCUGGAUCGGGGACAGUGCAUGGUAGGCAGUUUGACUGGGGCGGUCUCCUCCCAAAGCGUAACGGAGGAGUUCGAAGGUACGCUAGUUACGGUCGGACAUCGUGACGAUAGUGCAAUGGCAUAAGCGUGCUUAACUGCGAGACUGACAAGUCGAGCAGAUGCGAAAGCAGGACAUAGUGAUCCGGUGGUUCUGUAUGGAAGGGCCAUCGCUCAACGGAUAAAAGGUACUCUGAGGAUAACAGGCUGAUACCGCCCAAGAGUUCAUAUCGACGGCGGUGUUUGGCACCUCGAUGUCGGCUCAUCUCAUCCCGGGGCUGUAGCCGGUCCCAAGGGUAUGGCUGUUCGCCAUUUAAAGAGGUACGUGAGCUGGGUUUAAAACGUCGUGAGACAGUUUGGUCCCUAUCUUCCGUGGGCGCUGCAGAUUUGAGGAAGCCUGCUCCUAGUACGAGAGGACCGGAGUGGACACACCUCUGGUGUAUCGGUUGUCACGCCAGUGGCAUUGCCGAGUAGCUAAGUGUGGAAGAGAUAACCGCUGAAAGCAUCUAAGCGGGAAACUCGUUUCAAGAUGAGAUCUGCCGGGGCCUUGAGCCCCCUGAAGAGUCGUUCAAGACCAGGACGUUGAUAGGUCAGGUGUGGAAGUGAAAAG
This 1254-nucleotide ribosomal RNA is filed under the name metagenome. RNAcentral describes it as "bacterial LSU rRNA". It matches the Rfam family "Bacterial large subunit ribosomal RNA", at positions 1634 to 2880 of the family's 2925-position model. The record is from RNAcentral.